GCAAACACGGUUUGCUUUGAUGGAUUGAGUUCAGUUUUUGACACGGAACUACUGAUAUGCUGAAUUUUACCAGACCCCCUCAACUUCAAUGAUAAACUGGAAGCACAAUUGCAGCGCCAUCAGUAAGCUUGCGGAAGAAUAUAGAAUCAAAAUAGUGGGAUAAGGGUAAGUAUGCCUUGCGUUUGGCUGUUGCUAACCGAGAGUUGCUAAUAAACGGCAUUGUUUUUUUUUGUUGUCAACCAUUUAUACUCUCUGUGGUGAAAAAAGGCAUUAUGCUGGACUUUCCGCCAGGCCAUGAUGACAAUAAACCCAGCGACGACUUUGAAAUAGGACGGAGAGACGUGCUUCCAAAUGCUUCUUAGGUACUAAGCCUGGAUCGACCUGGAAUUUCCAGGCUGGAAACAGUGCGGCGGACAAUCUGUAGCUUUCCAGUAAACAAUGUGGAAGCAAUCCCACUAGAGAGGCACCAGAGUGCAUUGUGCUCUUUUUAUUACCACACGUAGUUUACUACAGGAAGUCCAGAAAGUACAACCAAUGUAGGCACUAAGUGCUCAGGAGUACAAAUUUGUGAAUAAUGAACGUUUCUGAAUAUAAUAAUGAAUUAAAGCCAAAAGAAAAUAUAUUUUCACAAACAUUUU
Long non-coding RNA from Aedes albopictus (Asian tiger mosquito), 638 nucleotides. RefSeq lists it as uncharacterized. Lineage: Eukaryota; Metazoa; Arthropoda; Insecta; Diptera; Culicidae. The record is from RefSeq and is a predicted model, not a curated record. The transcript has 2 exons.